GAUGAACGCUGGCGGCGUGCCUAAUACAUGCAAGUCGAGCGAACAGACGAGGAGCUUGCUCCUCUGACGUUAGCGGCGGACGGGUGAGUAACACGUGGAUAACCUACUUAUAAGACUGGGAUCACUUCGGGAAACCGGAGCUUAUACCGGAUAAUAUAUUCAACCGCUUGGUUCAAUAGUGAAAGACGGUUUUGCUGUCACUUAUAGAUGGAUCCGCUCCGCAUGAGCUAGUUGGUAAGGUAACGGCGUACUAAGGCAACGAUGCGUAGCCGACCUGAGAGGGUGAUCGGCCGGACUGGAGCUGAGACACGGUGCUGACGCCUAGGGUAGGACGCGGUGGGGAAGUGUGCGCAAUGGGAGAAAGCCUGACGGAGCAACGCCGCGUGGGUGAUGAGGGUCUGCAGAUCGUAAAGCUCUGUUAUUAGGGAAGACCAAAUGUAGAAGUAACUAUGCACGUCUUGACGGUACCUGAUCAGAAAGCCACGGCUAACUACGUG
This 497-nucleotide ribosomal RNA is filed under the name uncultured bacterium. RNAcentral's name for it is "partial 16S ribosomal RNA". It matches the Rfam family "Bacterial small subunit ribosomal RNA", at positions 28 to 507 of the family's 1533-position model. The record is from RNAcentral.